CAAGGUUUCCGUAGGUGAACCUGCGGAAGGAUCAUUAUUGAAAUAAACCUGAUGGGUUGCUGCUGGCUCUCUAGGGAGCAUGUGCACGCUUGUCAUCUUUAUAUCUCCACUUGUGCACCUUUUGUAGAUCUGGAUAUCUUUCUGAAUGCUUGGCAUUCAGGUUUGAGGAUUGACUUUCGUCUUUCCUUACAUUUCCAGGCCUAUGUUUUCUUCAUAUACCCCAUGUAUGUUAUAGAAUGUAAUAAAAUGGGCCUUUGUGCCUACAAACCUAUACAACUUUCAGCAACGGAUCUCUUGGCUCUCGCAUCGAUGAAGAACGCAGCGAAAUGCGAUAAGUAAUGUGAAUUGCAGAAUUCAGUGAAUCAUCGAAUCUUUGAACGCACCUUGCGCUCCUUGGUAUUCCGAGGAGCAUGCCUGUUUGAGUGUCAUUAAUAUAUCAACCUCCUCAGGUUUUUACUUGUUGAGUGUUUGGAUGUGGGGGUAUUUUUUGCUGGUCUUUUUCGAGGUCGGCUCCCCUAAAAUGCAUUAGCGGAACAAUUUUGUUGACCGUUCAUUGGUGUGAUAACUAUCUACGCUAUUGACGUGAAGCAUGUUCAGCUUCUAAUUGUCCAUUGACUUGGACAAAUUUUCAUUAAUGUGACCUCAAAUCAGGUAGGACUACCCGCUGAACUUAAGCAUAUCAAUAAGCGGAGGAAAAGAAACUAACAAGGAUUCCCCUAGUAACUGCGAGUGAAGCGGGAAAAGCUCAAAUUUAAAAUCUGGCA
Molecule: ribosomal RNA, 764 nt
Filed under: uncultured Cortinarius
Lineage: Eukaryota; Fungi; Basidiomycota; Agaricomycetes; Agaricales; Cortinariaceae
Description: eukaryotic LSU rRNA
Rfam family: 5.8S ribosomal RNA (bases 275-428)
Source: RNAcentral